UUUCCGUAGGUGAACCUGCGGAAGGAUCAUUAACGAAUAUCUAUGGCGUUGGCUGUAGCUGGCUCCUAGGAGCACUGUGCACGCCCGUCAUUCAUAUCAUCUUUCCACCUGUGAACCAUGUGUAGGCCUGGAUACCCCUCGCUUUGGCAACAAAGCGGAUGCAAGGAUUGCUGCGUCGACAAGGCCGGCUCUCUUUGAAUUUCCAGGUUCUAUGUCCUUUACACACCCCAUUUGAAUGAUUUAGAAUGUGGUCAAUGGGCUUUCAUGCCUAUAAAAAACUAUACAACUUUCAGCAACGGAUCUCUUGGCUCUC
Molecule: unclassified non-coding RNA, 313 nt
Filed under: plant metagenome
Description: partial contains small subunit ribosomal RNA, internal transcribed spacer 1, and 5.8S ribosomal RNA
Source: RNAcentral